This is a long non-coding RNA of Clupea harengus (Atlantic herring), 339 nucleotides long. NCBI's taxonomy places the organism in Eukaryota, Metazoa, Chordata, Actinopteri, Clupeiformes, Clupeidae. The record is from Ensembl.
UUUCAUGUUUAGAUACAUGUAGUAUAUGAUAAGAUGUUUAAUGUUUAGAUACAUGUAAUAGAUGAUGAUAAGAUGUUUAAUGUUUAGAUACAUGAUGAUAAGAUGUUUAAUGUUUAGAUACAUGAUGAUAAGAUGUUUAAUGUUUAGAUACAUCUAGUAUAUGAUAAGAUGUUUCAUGUUUAGAUAUAUGUAGUAUAUGAUAAGAUGUUUCAUGUUUAGAUACAUGUAGUAUAUGAUGAUAAGAUGUUUCAUGUUUAGAUACAUGUAGUAUAUGAUGAUAAGAUGUUUCAUGUUUAGAUACAUGUAGUAUAUGAUGAUAAGAUGUUUCAUGUUUAGAUA